Long non-coding RNA from Helianthus annuus (common sunflower), 507 nucleotides. RefSeq lists it as uncharacterized. The transcript has 6 exons. The record is from RefSeq and is a predicted model, not a curated record. NCBI's taxonomy places the organism in Eukaryota, Viridiplantae, Streptophyta, Magnoliopsida, Asterales, Asteraceae.
UAAUAAUUGGAUGGUUUUAAAAAAGUUUCAUGCAAAUAUAUGUAUUGAAUAUGGUUAUAUGCAAUUCCUUUAACUGUUUUAUGUAUUUUGGAAUGUUACUUUGAUGAGCAAUUACGGACCAUCUGAAAGAUAAAGAAAGGGUUCCGGCCACGAUUCUGACCGGAUGUCGCUUAUAUGGAGAUAGUCGUGCACGAUUAGUUGGUCUGAUUGCAAGGGUUUUUUCUUUUCGUAUUCUGAUUUGGUUCAGUAACCGUGUGGAUACAGGUGCAUUGCCUCCAUUUCAGUUCAGCUAUUUGAGAAAUAGGAAAUCAUUAUCUGAGUUUUGGCGGGAUUGUCCUAUUCUGGCUGAUAAUUCAAAGGAGCAUAAUUGCAUGCCUUAUGAACAUUAUACCGCAACAUUACUUGCACAAAAAGGCCUUGAAGGAGAACCCACAAAUAGGAGUUUAACUCACACUUCAUGGGUAUCUCAUCAAGCAAAGGUCGUGAAAGGCAAGGAUGGCAUCCUAC